Molecule: small nuclear RNA, 103 nt
Organism: Myodes glareolus (Bank vole)
Lineage: Eukaryota; Metazoa; Chordata; Mammalia; Rodentia; Cricetidae
Source: RefSeq, a predicted model, not a curated record
GUGCUCUCUUCAGCACACGUAUACUGGAAUUGGAACAAUGUAGAGAUUAGCAUGGCUCCUGCACAAGGAUGGCACAGAAGUUCAUGAAGCAUUAAAGAAAAAA